UAGAUAGGUACCACAAUAUUUUUGUCUAUUCGUCUGGUAUUUUCUUUGUUCUCAAUACCUUGUUGAACAGUUUCGUCAGUCAUUCAAUGCCAAUUUCCCCUAUGCACUUUCAAACUUCUAUCGGGAUACCAUCUGGUCCAAAGCCUUUCCUAUCUUCAUCAUUUUCAAAGCUUCUUUCACUUUUGAUGUCCUAAUCCUACGAAUGUAUCUAUGACCUCCGCCGUCACUUGUACCAGCAGUCCCUUCUACCACUAUGUUCCCAUUUUCUUCGUCAUAUAUUUGACACUUUAUAUUUCAAAUAAGCUGUGUGUAUUUUUUGACAUGCCAGAAUUAUAUAGUCAAGGAACUAUGGUGGUACAAAUAAUUACUAAAGUUCAAGCUAUGGACAAAUCCCCCUAAGUGGUUUUGAAUUUUUUCCUUUCUCUUUUUUUCUCUUAUAGGUUUAGGUAUUUGAAACUGAAUUCCUAGCCAAAAUUUUCAAUAGUCUGCUGGUUGCCCUUUUCUGUUGUUUCUGUUUACUAGAUUAGACUGGGUUUUUCAGGGGCUUC
This 548-nucleotide long non-coding RNA is filed under the name Amborella trichopoda. Its description in RNAcentral is "long non-coding RNA (ATRI_LNC003782)". Lineage: Eukaryota; Viridiplantae; Streptophyta; Magnoliopsida; Amborellales; Amborellaceae. The record is from RNAcentral.